RNAcentral lists this long non-coding RNA (526 nucleotides) under Heterocephalus glaber (naked mole-rat). RNAcentral describes it as "lncRNA (ENSHGLG00000041084.1)". Lineage: Eukaryota; Metazoa; Chordata; Mammalia; Rodentia; Bathyergidae. The record is from RNAcentral.
CGUGGGGCCUGCAGUACAGUGGUCGCCACCCACCCAGCAGCACCCCAGACGCAGCAGGCCCCAGGGCCCGUGCGGCUCCCAUUCUCUGCCUUCCUUCCAAACAGACACAGGAAAGGAAUGUCUUCAAAGCAUUUUUCUGAAAUGUGAUGAAGUCCUGAACGUAGCAUGCUGUGAUUCACGGAGGAAGCGGAUGCUGUCCCGGCCAUCUGGUUCCUUCCUGCUCAUCUUUUUGGAUCCAAAUGAAACAACAACCCCGUGUCUCAAACCAAACGUGUGAAAACAAUGGUCAAGGUCCUGAGUCACAUGGAAGAUGCCAAAUCACCUCGUUGCAGACAAGCAGGUCUGCCCACACCCUACCAAGGUCCCCAGUCGCAUGGAACACACACCAAAUCAGCCCGCUGCAGACAGGCAGGUCUGUGCACGCCCUACCGAGGUCCUGUCUCAUGCAGAAGACACCGAAUCACCCCACUGCAGACAGGCAGACACCUGAUUCCACAAUACAAAGAUGCAGAGGACACCAGACCAC